Non-coding RNA from Leptomonas seymouri, 68 nucleotides. NCBI's taxonomy places the organism in Eukaryota, Euglenozoa, Kinetoplastea, Trypanosomatida, Trypanosomatidae. The record is from Rfam.
UCACGUUGUCGGUUGGGCGUGACCCCUCGAACUCGUAGGCACAGCCCUAUCUCGCAACCCCUAGAGCC